AGGGAACGACCUAGACAAUGGAGAAUAAGUUGUUGCUUGUUGUUCUUAUCACGACCCAAAUCGGAGGGCCACAACGGGCACUUGGUGCCGUACCGAACCGAGUACCAAUGUAACAUAUUUUUUCUUAUCAUACCAUCAUGGGUAAAUGGGCUAGAAGGGUCUUCAUGAUAUAACCAGAAUGAAACAUAAGGGAAUACUUGACAUAGG
Molecule: long non-coding RNA, 207 nt
Filed under: Nicotiana benthamiana
Lineage: Eukaryota; Viridiplantae; Streptophyta; Magnoliopsida; Solanales; Solanaceae
Description: long non-coding RNA (NBEN_LNC022603)
Source: RNAcentral